AGUGAACGCUGGCGGUAGGCCUAACACAUGCAAGUCGAACGGCAGCACAGUAAGAGCUUGCUCUUACGGGUGGUGAGUGGCGGACGGGUGAGGAAUACAUCGGAAUCUACUUUUUCGUGGGGGAUAACGUAGGGAAACUUACGCUAAUACCGCAUACGACCUACGGGUGAAAGCAGGGGAUCUUCGGACCUUGCGCGAUUGAAUGAGCCGAUGUCGGAUUAGCUAGUUGGCGGGGUGAAGGCCCACCAAGGCGACGAUCCGUAGCUGGUCUGAGAGGAUGAUCAGCCACACUGGGACUGAGACACGGUCCAGACUCCUACGGGAGGCAGCAGUGGGGAAUAUUGGACAAUGGGCGCAAGCCUGAUCCAGCCAUACCGCGUGGGUGAAGAAGGCCUUCGGGUUGUAAAGCCCUUUUGUUGGGAAAGAAAAGCAGCAGGUUAAUACCCCGCUGUUCUGACGGUACCCAAAGAAUAAGCACCGGCUAACUUCGUG
RNAcentral lists this ribosomal RNA (492 nucleotides) under uncultured bacterium. RNAcentral's name for it is "partial 16S ribosomal RNA". It matches the Rfam family "Bacterial small subunit ribosomal RNA", at positions 29 to 507 of the family's 1533-position model. The record is from RNAcentral.